Molecule: non-coding RNA, 4152 nt
Organism: Doryrhamphus excisus (bluestripe pipefish)
Lineage: Eukaryota; Metazoa; Chordata; Actinopteri; Syngnathiformes; Syngnathidae
Source: RefSeq, a predicted model, not a curated record
AUUAGCGUUUAGCACUCAAAAUUACGAGUGUACCUGAAUGCCUCAAAUGAGAAAGAGGAAAAAGACAACGCAGCAAGUUGUUCAUUGCUCUGUGUGCAUCAUAUCAACAAUUGAAGCAGCUGAAGCUUUCAUUCUUCAGGGACGUGUGCGCCGACCGGCAUUUCACUUCAGUGUAAAAUCAUCUGGAAACAAUGCGGAGCCAUGAGGAAAUAACGGGCAGUCCGGAAGAGACCACUGCAAGGCCGGGGUGGCGGAGGGAGGCGUGGCCAGUGUGCACGGCUUUGGGGCAGUCUGGCGUUAGAACACGGCCAUUCUCCCCCACGCUUCCUGUGAUGGAAAGACGGGCCUUGUUUCGCAUGGCUUCAGAGAAUGACAGCUAAAUGAGGAAAGAUAAAACUAGGUUGUUAAAAAUUUAGUGGGUACUUAGUAAAUCCUGUAUCAAAGACACAACAACACGUAAACAUUCAUUUCAAUAGGCAUGCAUGGGUCUCCACAUAUAUUACACAUGUAAGCUAGUAUAAAGUUGGGAAAAAGUGCAGUCACACCAGUUCAACUCAACUCUGCUUGCCCCGUUUUGGUGUGGGUGGGUUCCCACUUUGAAACAGUACCAAAGCUAAAACACAACAGGCGAAACUAACAGUACCGUAUAUGUUUAUUAUUAAUAUCUUUUCUAGUCAUCCAUCCAUUUUCUGGAGCGCUUAUCCUAAUAAGGGUCGCGGGCAUGCUGGAGCCUAUCCCAGCUGUCUUCGGGCGAGAGGCGGGGUACACCCUGGACUGGUCGCUAGCCAAUCACAGGGCACAUAUAGACAAACAACCAUUCACACUCACAUUCAUACCGAUGGAAACCGAAGUACCCGGAGAAAACACGGGGAGAACAUGCAAACUCCACACAGAUAUGCCCGAGCAGGGAAUCAAACAUAUGUCUCCGCGGUAACCACUCAACCACCAUGCAGCCUCAUUUCUACUCAAUAAUUGCUUUUGUACAUGCAGAAAACAAUGUAAAAUAAUCAAUGAAAUAUAAUAGUGUUUUGAAUCUUUUUUAUCAAAUUGGCCCCAUGGUGGGUUAUUUUUUUGUUUGGCAUGUAUGUUUUGUCAUACAUGCAAUAUUGUCCAAAAAAACCUACGUACAAUUUGGGCAAAAGGUUGAGACGAAAACCGACUCGUACGAAAACUGCGAUUUUGGUUUGGCUGUAGUACUUGGAUUUGCCAGUAGUGCCAGUAGAGAGUAGAUUAGUAGGUACCGUGCAGUGGAAAAGGGGCAUCACAGUUUUAAGUAACGUAAGCCACACAAAAACAAAAGUUUAAAUUUGAAUUUUAGAAUUUGAUUAAUUUUGGCAUUAAUUAUUAUUAUAUCAUAUUUACAUAUUUAAUGCAUAACAUAACACAAAACUGAUUUGUACCAAUGAUAGAUUUAUCAAGCAGAAUUCCUGGUGUGACUGCACCCCCCCAAACGAUGGGUCUCAUAAAAGGGGUGUCACACUGCAAAGCAAACAUAUUCAAUAAAUGCAAAACUGCAAGGCAAUACAGACAAGUAGACAGAAGGAUUUGCAUUGUAGACAUCUGCAUUUCAUUAGCGUCCAUGCAAUUCUGUGGAGGAUUUGUACUUGAAGUGAUUCCAAAAUUGGUAAAAGUGAGGAUUUGAGAAAGACAAAAGAAAACAGGAAGGAGAAAAUUAUUUUUCAGGGAUUGGGAUUUAUAGAGAGGGAGUCAGUCACUAUACUGCUCACAGUAGGGGGGGCGGACACUUCAUAUGUACAUGCUACUUUAUGAUGUUUGCGAACUGAGUGAAGGCAGUCUGAAUUGUCAGCCUCCACGUGCAACUCCUUCAUAGAUUAGACCUUCCAAAACCAGUGGGUAGAAAUAUUAAAUAUACCAAAAAGAAAUAUUCCAACAUGGGAUAUUUACUUUUAUCAACGCUAACACUAAAAUGGUCUUUCUUGUAUAGCGUUUUUCCACCUCCAGGGUACUCAAAAGGUUCAGUAUCUUGCCCAAGGGUACUUCGACAUGAUCACAGGAGGUCUGAGGAUUGAACCCUCAACCUUCAGGUUGGCAGACGGCAACUUUUACCACCUGAGCCAUGCCAGGAAAAGUGAAAAACAACAAAUAAUAGAACUAAUAAUAAUAAUAAUAACAAAUAAUAGAAGCAAAAUCUCAGGGUCAACGUGGAUUGGUGCACUUCCCUGUGAUUGGCUGGCAACCAGUCAAGGGUGUGCUUCGCCGAUUGCCCGAAAACUGGGAUAGGGAUAGCUGGGAUAGGUUCCAGCAUGAAUGAAUGAAUGAUUGGUGCACUCCCGCUUGCCACACAUACAGAACUUUGUGUUGGCGUAGUGUGAGUACUGUCCACUCAAAGUGUAUUAAAACUACAGCGCUAUUGGUGGACUAAUGAUUUGAUACAUUUACAUUCAAGAACUUGCACUAGCCACUCUACUACUAAGAAACAUCAUUAAAUAGCUGUACUACAUGAAGUGUUUAUCAGUUUUUUCCAGCAGCGAUGCUAAGUAACGGGGCUGUUUUCAAGAUGUCAGGGCUGAAUUAUGUGAGGGAUGCACAACUCCACUUUAUGAACGCAUAAAAUGAGACAAACGAUGCUGGCUUUAAGCGACCACUGCUAUGAAUUUAUAAAAGCACUUCUGUAUAUAUGUGGCCAUUUGAACGAUACCGCUGCGGUGAUAUCUGCCUCCCUCUCCUGUCCCCUGCUGGCCUGCACUCACACUGCACCACAGCAUUAGGGUAUGUUGAUGUGCCAUGACUUCAGUAUACAAUGCUGUUUUACUGCAAAUUCCCCACACCUUGUGAGUGAGUAUUUGGCUUACAUUUGAUUUUCUAGUGGGAAUGCAUUUCCCCUCUGGCAUGUUUACACAAGACAAUUUAGAAAUGAAAAGCAAUUUAAAAAACGGUGUUAUUUUGGCAGCCGGUUUACAUCACAACAAGUUAUAAAAUGGUCUCAAAAGUACAAUAUUAUUAUUUCUGGCUGGCAUACAGCAGUGUUUUAGUGGGUUUGUUGUACAUGACAUAUUUCAAAGAAAAACCUUUCCUGUUUUUUUUGUUUUUUUUUUUACUUGACAUGGUUCUAUUGUAAUUGCUGAUGCUUGUGAAGUGAACCCAGUGGCUCCAAUGUAAAAAUAGCCAGCAAGACAUCUUACAGGCUUCUAUCGGAUCAGUGCUGAAAAUGUUGGAGUGAGAAGUUAGAACUAAUGGAAGCUGCCAUACUCACAGAAGCUAAUUAAUUUGUAGCUGGAAGCUGACAUGUUUUAAUGAGAGGAAAGCCAUGUAUAAAACAUUGAUGGCAGGAUAUUCGUGUAAAGAAUAUACUGAAUCGAGUACUCAUUUACAAUAUAUGCUUGAAACAUAAGAGUGAUUUUUUUUUCAUAAAAUUGCCAGCAUGCAGUAAUGAAGUUGUGCAUCCCUAUGCCAUAGUUUUGUUCAUUAUUAAGAGUACAAUGCAGUUGCCUUGUCAUGUUAUUAGCGAUGAGCAUCACCGUCAUCAUCAUUUUCAGCAACAUCAUCAUCAAUUCCAGCCAAAGACGAUGGAACCAAAUCUAGCAGAACCAAAAAAAAAAUUAAAAAUGCCAUUAAAUAUGAUACACAUAAGCCAAAAUAAGCCAAAAUGGUCCAAAAUAAGGUGAUUGGUUCCACAAUGCUUGGCUGCAUGUAUUCAUGAGCAGAUGAAGAACAACAUGGUUCUGCGAUGACAGCCUCUGGCAUGAACAAAAACAUGGACAGCACCACUACGAUGACCACCAUCAUGAGCCCACCUAGACGGCAGCCUCUAAAUCCUACCCCUAGAUCUUGACCCCCUCGGAGCCGUACACGUUGUACCCCUCCCUAUAAGUGGCUAGAUUCUGGGUGCUGGGGGAGGGGCUGGGGCAGUGGGGGGGGCUAAGGUCCACCUUCAUACGCUUGGCCUCGGCUCGCGACUUGUAACAGAACUCGACCAGCGCCACAAGCAUGGCGAGGCCCAGGCCGCCCACAAGGAUGUAGAAGACCCCGGCCACGUUAGACAGGCUCAGGGCUUGGGACGACUUGUCCUGUGGAGAGCAGGCAAAGAGGGUCGGGGGGUCGAGGAUGGAGGAUGUUGUUCAUGGGUAUUAGGAAAGAACGAGAAGGAAAGAAAAAAUGAAAGGACGAGAGAAAGAAGAAUCAGAGAGAGAG